This 330-nucleotide ribosomal RNA is filed under the name Triticum aestivum (bread wheat). Its description in RNAcentral is "partial small subunit ribosomal RNA". The record is from RNAcentral. Lineage: Eukaryota; Viridiplantae; Streptophyta; Magnoliopsida; Poales; Poaceae.
AUGGUGCGAUAUGAUCUCGAGGAUCAGCUCGCCACCAUCUAUACGGAUGAAGAAGCAUACUGGAGGCUCCGCGGUACCCAGCGUUGGGUGCUGUGGGGCGAUGCUAAUACGACAUAUUUCCAGGCGAUCGCGAAUGGGCGGCGACGUCGGAACUCCAUCCACUGUUUGUGGGAUGGUGAUUCCCAGCUCGUCCGCCCCUCGGACAUUCGGACACAUGUGGAUGGCUUCUAUAAAUCCCUAUUCUCCCCCACCCCUCGGGGCGGGACCGCUCUGGCGCCCGACAUCUGGUCGGCGCCCAGCUUGUGUUUGUUGCGGACAAUGCCGCCUUAG